GGGUCAGCGACUUAUAUUCUGUAGCAAGGUUAACCGUAUAGGGGAGCCGCAGGGAAACCGAGUCUUAACUGGGCGUUAAGUUGCAGGGUAUAGACCCGAAACCCGGUGAUCUAGCCAUGGGCAGGUUGAAGGUUGGGUAACACUAACUGGAGGACCGAACCGACUAAUGUUGAAAAAUUAGCGGAUGACUUGUGGCUGGGGGUGAAAGGCCAAUCAAACCGGGAGAUAGCUGGUUCUCCCCGAAAGCUAUUUAGGUAGCGCCUCGUGAACUCAUCUUCGGGGGUAGAGCACUGUUUCGGCUAGGGGGUCAUCCCGACUUACCAACCCGAUGCAAACUACGAAUACCGAAGAAUGUUAUCACGGGAGACACACGGCGGGUGCUAACGUCCGUCGUGAAGAGGGAAACAACCCAGACCGCCAGCUAAGGUCCCAAAGUCAUGGUUAAGUGGGAAACGAUGUGGGAAGGCACAGACAGCCAGGAUGUUGGCUUAGAAGCAGCCAUCAUUUAAAGAAAGCGUAAUAGCUCACUGGUCGAGUCGGCCUGCGCGGAAGAUGUAACGGGGCUAAACCAUGCACCGAAGCUGCGGCAGCGACACUAUGUGUUGUUGGGUAGGGGAGCGUUCUGUAAGCCUGCGAAGGUGUGCUGUGAGGCAUGCUGGAGGUAUCAGAAGUGCGAAUGCUGACAUAAGUAACGAUAAAGCGGGUGAAAAGCCCGCUCGCCGGAAGACCAAGGGUUCCUGUCCAACGUUAAUCGGGGCAGGGUGAGUCGACCCCUAAGGCGAGGCCGAAAGGCGUAGUCGAUGGGAAACAGGUUAAUAUUCCUGUACUUGGUGUUACUGCGAAGGGGGGACGGAGAAGGCUAUGUUAGCCGGGCGACGGUUGUCCCGGUUUAAGCAUGUAGGCUGGUUGUCCAGGCAAAUCCGGAUAAUCAAGGCUGAGGUGUGAUGACGAGGCACUACGGUGCUGAAGUAACAAAUGCCCUGCUUCCAGGAAAAGCCUCUAAGCAUCAGGUAACAUCAAAUCGUACCCCAAACCGACACAGGUGGUCAGGUAGAGAAUACCAAGGCGCUUGAGAGAACUCGGGUGAAGGAACUAGGCAAAAUGGUGCCGUAACUUCGGGAGAAGGCACGCUGGUGUGUAGGUGAAGCCCCUGCGGGUGGAGCUGAGACCAGUCGAAGAUACCAGCUGGCUGCAACUGUUUAUUAAAAACACAGCACUGUGCAAACACGAAAGUGGACGUAUACGGUGUGACGCCUGCCCGGUGCCGGAAGGUUAAUUGAUGGGGUUAUCCGUAAGGAGAAGCUCUUGAUCGAAGCCCCGGUAAACGGCGGCCGUAACUAUAACGGUCCUAAGGUAGCGAAAUUCCUUGUCGGGUAAGUUCCGACCUGCACGAAUGGCGUAAUGAUGGCCAGGCUGUCUCCACCCGAGACUCAGUGAAAUUGAACUCGCUGUGAAGAUGCAGUGUACCCGCGGCAAGACGGAAAGACCCCGUGAACCUUUACUAUAGCUUGACACUGAACAUUGAGCCUUGAUGUGUAGGAUAGGUGGGAGGCUUUGAAGCGUGGACGCCAGUCUGCGUGGAGCCAACCUUGAAAUACCACCCUUUAAUGUUUGAUGUUCUAACGUUGGCCCCUGACCGGGGUUGCGGACAGUGUCUGGUGGGUAGUUUGACUGGGGCGGUCUCCUCCCAAAGCGUAACGGAGGAGCACGAAGGUUAGCUAAUCCUGGUCGGACAUCAGGAGGUUAGUGCAAUGGCAUAAGCUAGCUUGACUGCGAGCGUGACGGCGCGAGCAGGUGCGAAAGCAGGUCAUAGUGAUCCGGUGGUUCUGAAUGGAAGGGCCAUCGCUCAACGGAUAAAAGGUACUCCGGGGAUAACAGGCUGAUACCGCCCAAGAGUUCAUAUCGACGGCGGUGUUUGGCACCUCGAUGUCGGCUCAUCACAUCCUGGGGCUGAAGUAGGUCCCAAGGGUAUGGCUGUUCGCCAUUUAAAGUGGUACGCGAGCUGGGUUUAGAACGUCGUGAGACAGUUCGGUCCCUAUCUGCCGUGGGCGCUGGAGAAUUGAGGGGGGCUGCUCCUAGUACGAGAGGACCGGAGUGGACGCAUCACUGGUGUUCGGGUUGUCAUGCCAAUGGCACUGCCCGGUAGCUAAAUGCGGAAGAGAUAAGUGCUGAAAGCAUCUAAGCACGAAACUUGCCCCG
This 2199-nucleotide ribosomal RNA is filed under the name Klebsiella pneumoniae. RNAcentral's name for it is "partial 23S ribosomal RNA". It matches the Rfam family "Bacterial large subunit ribosomal RNA", at positions 617 to 2801 of the family's 2925-position model. Lineage: Bacteria; Pseudomonadati; Pseudomonadota; Gammaproteobacteria; Enterobacterales; Enterobacteriaceae. The record is from RNAcentral.